AUCGGUUUACUCUAUUUCUGUGAGAGAAGAGCAGUGCGUUGCCGCAUCUGAGCAUCUCAGUCAUCAUGUCUUACAGAAUGAUGGACAGCAGUCACUCACAGCCGAGAGAUUUCAACAACCUCACUCAGACAUGCAGCUCAAACAUCCAGAAAAUCACACUAAACACUGGUCAAAUCAAGAGCAUGCUUUUCCAACUUGGUACCAUGCCAGACACACCAGAACUUCAGGACAGACU
Molecule: long non-coding RNA, 235 nt
Organism: Sinocyclocheilus grahami
Lineage: Eukaryota; Metazoa; Chordata; Actinopteri; Cypriniformes; Cyprinidae
Exons: 3
Source: RefSeq, a predicted model, not a curated record